This 85-nucleotide transfer RNA is filed under the name Salmonella enterica. RNAcentral's name for it is "tRNA-Tyr". It matches the Rfam family "tRNA". Rfam says of the family: Transfer RNA (tRNA) molecules are approximately 80 nucleotides in length. Their secondary structure includes four short double-helical elements and three loops (D, anti-codon, and T loops). Further hydrogen bonds mediate the characteristic L-shaped molecular structure. tRNAs have two regions of fundamental functional importance: the anti-codon, which is responsible for specific mRNA codon recognition, and the 3' end, to which the tRNAs corresponding amino acid is attached (by aminoacyl-tRNA synthetases). tRNAs cope with the degeneracy of the genetic code in two manners: having more than one tRNA (with a specific anti-codon) for a particular amino acid; and 'wobble' base-pairing, i.e. permitting non-standard base-pairing at the 3rd anti-codon position. Lineage: Bacteria; Pseudomonadati; Pseudomonadota; Gammaproteobacteria; Enterobacterales; Enterobacteriaceae. The record is from RNAcentral.
GGUGGGGUUCCCGAGCGGCCAAAGGGAACGGACUGUAAAUCUGCCGUCAUCGACUUCGAAGGUUCGAAUCCUUCCCCCACCACCA